Molecule: ribosomal RNA, 117 nt
Filed under: Clostridia bacterium
Lineage: Bacteria; Bacillati; Bacillota; Clostridia
Source: RNAcentral
UCUGGUGACUAUGGCGAAGGGGUCCCACCUGUUCUCAUUCCGAACACAGAAGUUAAGCCCUUCAGCGCCGAUGAUACUUAGCGGGCAGCCGCUUGGGAAAGUAGGUCGUUGCCAGAU